RNAcentral lists this ribosomal RNA (499 nucleotides) under Fusarium oxysporum. RNAcentral's name for it is "eukaryotic LSU rRNA". The stretch from base 134 to 287 matches the Rfam family "5.8S ribosomal RNA". The record is from RNAcentral. Lineage: Eukaryota; Fungi; Ascomycota; Sordariomycetes; Hypocreales; Nectriaceae.
CUCCAACCCCUGUGACAUACCACUUGUUGCCUCGGCGGAUCAGCCCGCUCCCGGUAAAACGGGACGGCCCGCCAGAGGACCCCUAAACUCUGUUUCUAUAUGUAACUUCUGAGUAAAACCAUAAAUAAAUCAAAACUUUCAACAACGGAUCUCUUGGUUCUGGCAUCGAUGAAGAACGCAGCAAAAUGCGAUAAGUAAUGUGAAUUGCAGAAUUCAGUGAAUCAUCGAAUCUUUGAACGCACAUUGCGCCCGCCAGUAUUCUGGCGGGCAUGCCUGUUCGAGCGUCAUUUCAACCCUCAAGCACAGCUUGGUGUUGGGACUCGCGUUAAUUCGCGUUCCCCAAAUUGAUUGGCGGUCACGUCGAGCUUCCAUAGCGUAGUAGUAAAACCCUCGUUACUGGUAAUCGUCGCGGCCACGCCGUUAAACCCCAACUUCUGAAUGUUGACCUCGGAUCAGGUAGGAAUACCCGCUGAACUUAAGCAUAUCAAUAAGCGGAGGA